Gambusia affinis (western mosquitofish) is the source of this 3339-nucleotide long non-coding RNA. RefSeq lists it as uncharacterized. The record is from RefSeq and is a predicted model, not a curated record. Lineage: Eukaryota; Metazoa; Chordata; Actinopteri; Cyprinodontiformes; Poeciliidae. The transcript has 7 exons.
GCUACAGUCUCAGAUCAACUCAGACCUCCAGGACUGUCAGCAGCAGAAACAGAAACUUUAUACUGUUGGGGAAAAUAUACAACAUUUGCUUUACAUUGUUUCAUUGGCUGUCUGCUUGACCUCAUAUUCAUCUUUGUCUCAGAGACAUUAUGUCCUGAUGUCUGUUCUAAUGACCAAGAGUUGCUCAACGUUCCUCCUACAUCUGUUGUCUGCACAACCUUUUCUUUGAGAAGUUAAAGCUGUUCCACAAUCUAUUUCCAAAUAAGGUAUUGAUCAUCUCUGCUCUCCUGUUAGUUCCCUUUCCGAGAGUCAGAACUAAACAUGGUGAAGCAGCUUUUAAUUUUUAUGCUCAAACUUCCUGCUCACUGCAAGACUACUCCUACCUUGAGUUUAUUUAAAACAAGAUUAAAAACCUUCUUAUUUGACAUUGCCUAUUCUUAAAUGUUUGUUUUUAACUAUAUUCAAAACUGUAAUGUUUAUUUUGUUCAUUUUUAAUCUGCUUGAUCAUUAGCAAAAAUAAAUUCGUCUAAUUCUUUAUAGGCUCCAACAUCAGUGAUGUUUAAUUAUAGUUACACCUUUUACACCAUUUCAAGUUCAAUGUCAAAAUCACAUUUAUAACUUCUUUGGCUUCUUUGAUUUAGUAUUCAUUUAUAAUUUUAUGAUAACCAUAACUUAUUAGUUACUCUUAAUGUGAGUUAUUACAAGAAAAGAAACCAUGUAUAAUCCAUGAUUCUAAUUAUUUGAUACAAAGUUACAGUUACUUGUUUUACUUGUAAGAGAACCCACCAAUUGUUAGGAUUCAAGUUGGUGUGAGUGCUCCCCUGACAGACGAUCUUCGUGGGAUAGUUUCCGGCAGGCUGGCGCACCUGCAGCGGAUUCCCGCAAUCGGCUGCAGGAUUCUUAAGAAGCGGUGGAGCAGCUAUUCAUCGCUCGAUGGUCCCACUUGUUGAUCUCGAUCAGUUGUCUGGAUCAAGCCAGGAACCACGCCCAUCACAGCGCGCAGCAGCGACUGCUCUUUGUCACCAGGACUCUACCGCCUGCCGAUCGUGCCCCUGUCACUCUCUCAGAACCUCUGUGCCUCUUGGAUCCUUUCCCCUUCCUCAGCAACCCUGCAUCAGACGAACUAACCUGACCCGCCCAACCGCUGCCGAUUCGAGAGUCAAUCUGGAUUGAGUUUCAUUCAGCAUUUAUUGUAAAUGAAUAAUUUGAAUCAAGACUUUCCGGCCUUUGUGGUAGAACCUGCAUAUGGGUGAAAAACCUCAAAUCCAACAUGACACCAAUACUCACCGAUCGUCACGGUUUCCUCCUGUGGCGUCGGAGUGAUGAGGUUUCUGUGAGGAACCGUCUCUAUCGUCAUGGAAACAAAGUUUGGAUCUGAAACAGCAACAAUAACAGGACUGAUUAGGAAAACUGCAACAGAUCCGGAUCAGAACCUGCAGCUUGGACCUGCUCUCACCAACAACAAGCAGAAGUUCUGUGUCUAUCCCGAGGCGUGGAUGAAACAUCGGAACCUGCCGUGGUCCUGCAGGCUGGAUCGCCUUGAUGGUCAGAGACACGCUCUCGCCUCAGGCCGCCCUGGGACAGAGACGCCCUACGUGUCCAUCAUCAUGUCUCGGUCCGUCUUCCUGAAGCGGUACACGAACACGUACUCCACACGCUUCUGAGGGCCGGACGGCUUCAGGUCCGGUCGGGACCACACCACCGUCUUCCCCACGACGUCCCACUCAGGAUCCACCUGACACGGGAGGACGACGUCAUCUCCAGGAGCAGCUACGAUUGGCUGAGACGAACCAAUCAGAUGGAGGCUACCUGGAAGCACAGGGAGGAUUUUAUUAUAACAUCAAUACAAUACAUAAUUCUAGGGUGAUGUCACACUUCCAGGAACUUUGUCACCGACAGCCAUCUUGAUUGGCGAUCUCUGUGGUCCCAGCAAGACGAAGAGUAUGAAGAGUCUUUUUUAGCAAACCAAGAAAAUGAAAGGAGAAGACAGUUUUACAAGGCCUGGGAGGAAAGACACAUAAAAAAGGAGAAUGCAGUCCCAUUACCCUUGGAAUGAUACUGGAGUUUGCUUCCGGAGCAUCCAUGGUACCUCCACUGGGCUUUCCCCAUCGUCCACAAAUUGAAUUCCUCCAUGAGGCUAACAGAUUCUUCCCAGAAGCAAAUACUUGCCUGAUAGUACUCUGCCUUCCUGUACACCCAGACUAUGAGUCUUUCACAAAGUACAUGACAGACGGGGUGCUGCAGGGACCUACCUUUGGUGUUGCAUAAUCAGCUAAUAAUUGUAGUAAGCAUUUCUUUUAAAAAAGAGUUGGAAUGUUUUGAAAAGUUAAGUGUUUUAAAGCAAGUUAUAGUAAAGGUAAUGUAAUGGCCGAACUUGGAAAAUAUUUGAAUGUAAAUACAAUAUUUGCUUCUCUUUUUUUGCAAAGAAUAGAUGUCUUUUUAACCACUUUUUGCUUUCACAAUUUAAAGGUGGAUGUUUGAGCCACACUGCAAAAACAAAAGGUCUACUCUGGUAAUGAACACUGCUCAUUUGGAUUAACAACAAAAUCCAAUUCUAAAGAAGCUCAAAGGGUCCAAAAGAUGCAUUUGACCUGGGGGUUGGGAGAUACUAGUUAUUUGUACAUGAACAUUUUCAAAAGUAGUUUUUAUUUUUCUGUCCCUCUCCAGAAUGUGUAAUUAAUUUGUCAUGCUUUUAAACACCUUAACAUUUAUAAUUAAAUCUGAAAGGUUACCUACUCAUGUCAAUUCUGAGUUUUAUUUGUAGUAAUUGUAGCUUUAGAACAAUGCAUUUGAUCAAGUGUUCUGUGACAUGUACUUGAAUCAAUAAAGCAUUUGCAGUUUCUACACAACAGCCCUGGUAUUUCUCCUUCAGAUCUGAAAUAUGAUUGACUGCAAGAUUAAAUGACUGAGGUUGGUGCUGACUGAGCCUGGUCCGAGGUGGUUCUACAACUACACUAGGAACCUCUUCAGCAUCAGCGGUUGGUAGUGGCCAAAGGCCAUGCUGUUGCAGAGUCUCUGGUGCCCUGGGAUUUUCACCAAACACGUUGUUAGUUGCUGUGCUGUUUGCCAACAUCUGUUCAGUGCAGAUUUGUGUUGGUGUUUUAUUGUUUUCUGUACGCAAGGAUUGAUGGUUCCAUGACUUUCUGAAUUGUUCCAGUCGGCUUUGAAUCUCAGGAAGAAAAACCAUGUGAAGAGAAAGUUUGUUUGCUGGGAUCCAAGACAUAAUGUUUGCUUUAUACAUCUGUUUUUAUCUGUUUGUCUAUAUCUGGAGGAGAAGCAGCAUUUAGCAUCUAUGCACCAAAAAUCUGGAACAAACUUCCAAAAAACUGUAAAACAGCU